RNAcentral lists this ribosomal RNA (253 nucleotides) under uncultured bacterium. RNAcentral's name for it is "partial 16S ribosomal RNA". It matches the Rfam family "Archaeal small subunit ribosomal RNA", at positions 474 to 727 of the family's 1478-position model. The record is from RNAcentral.
UACCAGCACCCCGAGUGGUCGGGACGAUUAUUGGGCCUAAAGCAUCCGUAGCCGGUUCUACAAGUCUUCCGUUAAAUCCACCUGCUUAACAGAUGGGCUGCGGAGGAUACUAUGGAGCUAGGAGGCGGGAGAGGCAAGCGGUACUUAGUGGGUAGGGGUAAAAUCCGUUGAUCCAUUGAAGACCACCAGUGGCGAAGGCGGCGAACUUGACAGUUACUGACACUCAACUGCGAAAGCGUGGGGAGCAAACAGG